This is a long non-coding RNA of Oreochromis aureus, 764 nucleotides long. The record is from Ensembl. Lineage: Eukaryota; Metazoa; Chordata; Actinopteri; Cichliformes; Cichlidae.
UGGAGAUGUGAUUCAGUACAGAACAUGUUUGGUAUGCAGGAGGAAUGACUAAAGGAGGAUGAUUCUUGCUGGUCAGGCUGGUUCCGGAGGGGCAAAUAAGAGCUGCUUCAAUGACAGUCUAAUUGUAGCCCACAUUCCCUCCAUGGUCUCUGGGGAGGGUUGCUGCUGGUCCACAAAGCUCUCAGGCCAUGCUAAGUCCCCGGAUGCUUCCACGGGUCUGCCGCUUCCAUCCUGCUGUAGGCUCAGUGAAGAAGGUGUUGACCCUGGUGACCUGAGCCUGCUUCCAUUGGGUAAUAGGAAAUGGCACUGACCCCUCCUGAUCCCCCCGAUUACCUUCGUGAAGCGUGAAUGUGGUAUGGAAUCACACAUCAGGAGACGAGUUGUAAUUAUUUCUGCGAUGCCAUCAGCAUGGAUCAAUCACUCAGGGAGGCUGCGAGUGGAACGCCGCUCGCAGCCAUAGAUGGAGCCAGCAGCGACCAUCUUUGACUGACAGCUUUGGUAAUUAAGUGAUUGUAUAGACCCCUCCGACUGUUAUAACAACCUUGUCAGGGCCAGCCUGUGUUUGGAACACACUCAAAUCAAUGUGUUCUCCACUCCCUAAGCAUUUCUGAUCAUGUACCUCAGACAGAAGAACUCUUUGCAUUGACGCUGCUUUCCUUUAAUAAUUGACAUGGCAGUAAAAGAGAUUUUAAAACACAAAAUAUAUAAUAUAAAAAAUAUACUUAACAUUACCAUUUUAUCAUAUUUUUUUCUCAUAGGAGGCC